CGCUGCGCCGCUGCUUCCGGCCCUGCCCCGGGUAGUGCCGGACUUAUCUGUGACGUUGCUGGUCGCGGUGACCUGUCAGGGCACCCAGCACCAGGCAGGGCCUUGGUGAUCAAAAUAUCCACCUCAUCCUAAGUUCCCCUUUCAUGGAAUGAAGAAAUAUGAGGCUGGAGGUAGUCCUAUCCCUUGAUCCGGCCCAUAGCCCGGGGCACUGAGAGAUGAUGGACGCUCAGAGGGCAGAGCUCUUCUCCUCCUCCGUGCCUGGAACCCUUUUGGAUUUCUGGGAAUCUCCUUUGAGACCACAGCUGUUCUAGGAUGAGGCAACCUAUGAGAACUGUUGGCUGCUGACCUCGUCAUUGUUGGCUGCCAGUAGGGGAUUGAUGAGAGAGCUCAAGGCGCAGUUGUUCAACGGGAUGACGAUGGUGCCAUUACAAAGCUGAGGAACCUCCAGAUAAGCUCCGAUCAGGAAGAGUCUUCAAGAUACAGAUCGUCUUCCCAGUCCCUGCCUGCCGAGUCCUCUUCACUCCGCUGCUCUGCCUGGCGUCCAUCUGUGAUCUGGUUGUCUGUGUAUUGGUGGUCUCCUGCCCUGGGCCACAGGCUGCACGGGGGCAGGGCCGGGCCACGCUGUCCUUGCUGUAUCCCCAGCACCUGACACCUGCUGCA
This 660-nucleotide long non-coding RNA is filed under the name Equus caballus (horse). Its description in RNAcentral is "lncRNA (ENSECAG00000058752.1)". The record is from RNAcentral. Lineage: Eukaryota; Metazoa; Chordata; Mammalia; Perissodactyla; Equidae.